AAACAAAGGAACUCAAUAAAUAAGAAAAUGAAGCUCAACCUGACCAGCAGCAACAUCAACAAUGGCAUGAGCUCUUACACCAGCAACAACCUUUCUAACUAAAGCUUUGGAAUUCUUAUUCAUAUGCAGAAAAUCCUCAAAUACAAUCCUUGCAAAUACACAUUGGACUAACAAAUACCAAACAUGUCAACAUAACAAAUUAGACAAAUAUUUAGAUUGUGGCAAUAAUUAAAGUAAGGGACACCAAUUAAAGUAAACAUUGAAUCAAAGGAAUUAGAAAAACAAUUAUCAUAGCAAAAUAUAUAAACAAUAAUUUAGAAAAUUAAAAAACAUACCUGCUUCAUUUGGAUACUUCUCCAGCCGUGAAAAUUGCAGAAACCCCAUGUAUUUACAUACCUUAAUGAAAGGGCACAUUUAAUUAGUCAUGAAAUUCAAAGCCAAAAAAAAAAACGUAAUAAAAAAUCAUGAAAUCCAAGGCAAGAACAAAAAUAGAAAAUUACGGAGCUCCCCCAAAUUCAUCAAACUAAAGCUAAUACUGUUAAAUGACAUACCUUUUUUCUCAGAUUCGUCAGCAGCAAUCUCUGAUUGCACAUGAAGAAGAAGAAGAAGAAAACAAAAACAAAAAAAAAAACACGAUGUGAGGAAUGAAGAAGCAUCAUCAACGUAAAUUGAAGAAAAAAAAAUAGAAUAGAUCUGGAAUUCAAAAAUAAAUAUGAAUCUGUAAAUCAAAAAACGAAAAAUGGAUCUGAAGUGCAUACCUUCGUUGCAGUCGUGUUCUCUGCUUCAUCAUUCGUUCUCUGAGUUUGUCAAAAGAGAGGGAGAAAUGAAAGAAUCGAAAAAAGAGAGGAAGCUAAAUGAGAGAGGUUUUUGAAUUUCAAAUGAAAGAAUUCCCGGUUUGAUAGUCUUACUUGUGAAUUGUGAAAGUGACCUGACCUAAGAAAGAUACAAAACUCUGCAAUGAAAGGGAUGACUCACGCAAUAAGUGAAACUGUGAGAAGAAGAUGUUGCAUGAUAAGUGAUUGA
Molecule: long non-coding RNA, 1023 nt
Filed under: Trifolium pratense (red clover)
Lineage: Eukaryota; Viridiplantae; Streptophyta; Magnoliopsida; Fabales; Fabaceae
Description: long non-coding RNA (TPRA_LNC011959)
Source: RNAcentral